UAAAUACUUCCUCCGUUCCAUAUUAGUUGUCGCUAAAACAGAUGUAUCUAGCACUGAAAUACGUCUAGAUACAUCUGUUUCAGUGACAACUAAUAUGGAACGAAGGGAGUGCAUG
Molecule: non-coding RNA, 115 nt
Organism: Triticum aestivum (bread wheat)
Lineage: Eukaryota; Viridiplantae; Streptophyta; Magnoliopsida; Poales; Poaceae
Source: Rfam